UCAAAAUCCCUCUUGUCAUACUUACCUUGUUGCUUCCACUGGACUAGUUGGCAUUCUUAAUGUUUUAUAGAAUGUUGACUCUCGAGCGUCGUUUGGGGCUGGGGAGUGCCAGUGGAUAGCCCAAACUAAAAAACUCUUUUGUUUGAAAUUUGCUGAUUUGAGUCUGAAAAUGGUUGUCAAAAUCGAUAAAACUUUCAACAACGGAUCUCUAGGCUCUUGCAUCGAUGAAAAACGCAGUGAAAUGCGAUACGUAAUGUGAAUUGCAAAAUCUCGUGAAUCAUUGAAUCUUUGAACGCACAUUGCGCCCUAUGGUAUUCCGUAGGGCAUGCCUGUCUGAGUGUCAGCUUCCUUCCUCUCAAACGUCUGUUUCUCCUUUUUGGAGGAAGACUUUGGAUUACCUUGGACAAGCUAUGGUUACGUGAUAAUGGCUGUCCAGAAAAUCAUAGGCAGUAUGGGUGUUUUCCAGACUGAACGUAAUAAGAAACAAUCAAAAAGGACGUUUAUAUGGAGCCUUUGUACUUGCCUUCAACCCACACAUUCUUUUUUUGGGUCGACCUCAGAUCAGGUAGGGAUACCCGCUGAACUUAAGCAUAUC
RNAcentral lists this ribosomal RNA (595 nucleotides) under Mattirolomyces terfezioides. Its description in RNAcentral is "eukaryotic LSU rRNA". The stretch from base 190 to 343 matches the Rfam family "5.8S ribosomal RNA". Lineage: Eukaryota; Fungi; Ascomycota; Pezizomycetes; Pezizales; Pezizaceae. The record is from RNAcentral.